Molecule: ribosomal RNA, 369 nt
Filed under: uncultured archaeon
Lineage: Archaea
Description: bacterial SSU rRNA
Rfam family: Archaeal small subunit ribosomal RNA
Source: RNAcentral
UUAACAGAUGGGCUGCGGAAGAUACUAUAGAGCUAGGAGGCGGGAGAGGCAAGCGGUACUCGAUGGGUAGGGGUAAAAUCCGUUGAUCCAUUGAAGACCACCAGUGGCGAAGGCGGCUUGCCAGAACGCGCUCGACGGUGAGGGAUGAAAGCUGGGGGAGCAAACCGGAUUUAGAUACCCGGGUAGUCCCAGCUGUAAACGAUGCAGCUCUCUCGUCAUCAUUUGUUGGCUUAUUGCUAUCUCCAGUGCCGCAGGGAAGCUGUUAAGUUGGGCGUCUGGUACGGUCGCAAGACAUGAAACUUAACUGGGCCAUCUCAAAGAGCACACAAGGGGUGAAGCCGUGCGGUUCAAUUGGAGUCAACAGCCGGA